Molecule: small nucleolar RNA, 202 nt
Filed under: Sciurus vulgaris (Eurasian red squirrel)
Lineage: Eukaryota; Metazoa; Chordata; Mammalia; Rodentia; Sciuridae
Description: Small nucleolar RNA U3 (ENSSVLG00005025745.1)
Rfam family: Small nucleolar RNA U3
About the family: Small nucleolar RNAs (snoRNAs) are involved in the processing and modification of rRNA in the nucleolus.
Source: Rfam by way of RNAcentral
AAGACUGUACCUUCAGGGAUCAUUCGUUACCAGAAAGAUUUCUCUGAAUGCGUGGAACACAGAGUCUGAGGAGGAGUGCAGUUCCUUCUCCAGGGUGAAGCCUGCUCUUGGUGUUGCUUUGCUGCAGCUGGCAUUUGCCAUUGAUGAUUGUUCUUCUCUUCCUUUUGGGGACAUAAGAAGAGGAGGGCACUGUCUGAGUGGU